RNAcentral lists this ribosomal RNA (465 nucleotides) under uncultured bacterium. Its description in RNAcentral is "partial 16S ribosomal RNA". It matches the Rfam family "Bacterial small subunit ribosomal RNA", at positions 338 to 795 of the family's 1533-position model. The record is from RNAcentral.
CCUACGGGAGGCUGCAGUGGGGAAUAUUGCGCAAUGGGCGAAAGCCUGACGCAGCGACGCCGCGUGAGGGAUGAAGGUCUUCGGAUCGUAAACCUCUGUCAGCGGGGAAGAACGGUCACUGUGCUAAUCAGCAGUGAAUUGACGGUACCUGCAACGGAAGCCCCGGCUAACUCCGUGCCAGCAGCCGCGGUAAUACGGAGGGUGCGAGCGUUAAUCGGAAUUACUGGGCGUAAAGCGCUCGUAGGCGGUAUGUCAAGUCAAGGGUGAAAUCCCCGCGCUCAACGUGGGAACUGCCUUUGAAACGGGCAAACUGGGGGGUGUGAGAGGAUAGGGGAAUUCCAGGGGUAGGAGUGAAAUCGGUAGAUAACGGGAGGAACAUCAGGGGCGAGGGGGACUAUCGGGCAGAUAACUGACGCUGAGGAGCGAAAGCGUGGGUAGCAAACAGGAUUAGAUACCCUGGUAGUC